This 371-nucleotide ribosomal RNA is filed under the name uncultured organism. Its description in RNAcentral is "partial 16S ribosomal RNA". It matches the Rfam family "Bacterial small subunit ribosomal RNA", at positions 527 to 896 of the family's 1533-position model. The record is from RNAcentral.
GUAGGUGGCAAGCGUUGUCCGGAAUUAUUGGGCGUAAAGCGCGCGCAGGCGGUUCUUUAAGUCUGAUGUGAAAGCCCACGGCUCAACCGUGGAGGGUCGUUGGAGACUGGAGAACUUGAGUACAGAAGAGGAAAGCGGAAUUCCACGUGUAGCGGUGAAAUGCGUAGAGAUGUGGAGGAACACCAGUGGCGAAGGCGGCUUUCUGGUCUGUAACUGACGCUGAGGCGCGAAAGCGUGGGGGAGCAAACAGGAUUAGAUACCCUGGUAGUCCACGCCGUAAACGAUGAGUGCUAAGUGUUAGGGGGUUUCCGCCCCUUAGUGCUGCAGCUAACGCAUUAAGCACUCCGCCUGGGAGUACGGCCGCAAGGCUG